This 2870-nucleotide small RNA is filed under the name Pan troglodytes (chimpanzee). Its description in RNAcentral is "retained intron". The record is from RNAcentral. Lineage: Eukaryota; Metazoa; Chordata; Mammalia; Primates; Hominidae.
CUUCGAACUCUUUCGUUCUUGUUUUCUUGUCCAAGUCUCCUUUAGAAUUUCUCUUCCUGAAAAGUUUCUUCUCUAUUUAUAAUGUUCUCACUAUACAACUAAAUGUCAGAUUACCUAUAUCAAUUUUGCUUGCACUCUUAUUACAUUUUAACACUUAUUUUCUAGUGCUUAUGUAGAAUAUUUGAAGUUUUCUAGAAGAAAACAAUAACAAUUGUACAAUAGAUACUUGAGCUUCAAGAUCACAUUCUGAUGUAUUCAGUGUUUCUUAUGAUGCCUGUAGUUUUUGUAUGUAGGAGUAUUAAAACAUGUAAGAAAAUGAAAAGUGAUAUUGGGCAAAAGAAUCAGGUUUAUAACUGCAAAAAUGUUUUGUUUCAAUGUUGGGUGGGUUAUGGGGGGGAGCGAGUAAAACAUCUGUCAGAAGUAAUUUGACUGUAAAUUAAAAUAGAACUCAAAAGGAUGAUAAAUUUAAUUUAUAUUGUGCUUAACAUCUGGUGUUUUACUGUGCCUUUCAAAACAACAACUUAGGAUCUUUGGAAAACAUAAUUAGAGAAAAAUGUAACUUGGAUUAGCAUGUGGCUAGAUGAUUUUUUAAAUGAAAAUGAAGAUGCAUUUUAUAUGAAUUAUUUUCUUUUCACAUGGCUAAUCAAGGUUAGUUUUUCAUUCUAUGAAGAAUCUGGAGGUAGGCUGCAUGACAGCAGUGCCCUAGUGAGCUAAGAGCUUUGAGUCAGGGUCUGACUCAGACGUGUGAGUUUAGAUCUGGAGAAACAGUGGGUGCAGUGUUUAGGGGAGUGUUCCUGUGGCUGGGCCGCAAGGCCUGAAGAAACUUGCUUAGUGGUUCUGGGCCUCUGAGCCUCAUCUAUAGAAGGAGGCUAUAAUGAAGCCUACCCAUAGGGCUUCUGGGGCUGAAACGAGCUAAUGAUGUCGAAGCUGCUAGAACUGUACCUGUGUCAGAGUGAGUGUGCAGCAUACGUUAUCAUCACUGUCAUCACUCCAGCAUUCUGAUUGUGCCUUUAAACUAGUGUGGGAUUUUGCCCAAACCUCUAAACCCUCCCCUAGCCGUGGUUUCCCCCGCAGUCUGAAGACUCUAAUACUUGACACUCCUUCAGAGAGAUGUUUGGGGAAUUUAUAGACACUUAACAUUUAUGCAUCCUUAUAUAUCGGGGGCGGGAGGAAUUACCGACACUUAAACCAUUACUGCCUUCUUCCUCAAAAGAAUAACAGCUUUGAUAACUGGGUUAGCAGAGGUGUUAGUGGACUUAGGGUUGUAAACAGAUACUCACGGCACUGACAUCGAUGAGUCUAUGAGGGAAAUUAGAAAGAUAAAUACAUCUGGGAUGUAAACUCGGAAAGGCGAGUCUGUUCAAAAUGUUGGUGCUAUUGAAUUGUGAUUCUCAGUGUUUGUACAUUGCUAAUAAUGUUAAACCAUGAAGCCUGUGAGAUCUUGUGUUGCAGCGUGGUUUGGCCCUAGCGUUCUUGCAUGCUAACCUAAGGUAGAAGAUUAGCAGCCUGUUUGCAUGCAGCCGGAUGCUGCCCCUGACGUGAAGCAUGUUCUGGGAGGUUGACCCAACCUCCUUUGGCUGUGGCCUCAUUCACCCCGUCCUGUCUGUGGCCUCAUUCACCGUGAUAUUAGGUUGAAAAAGCUGGUUGAUGAACGGGAAUGCUUAUUGGAACAGAUUAAGAAACUCAAAGGGCAGCUGGAGGAGAGACAGAAGAUUGGCAGACUAGACAAUCUUCGAUCUGAAGAUGAUGUCUUGGAAAACGGGACAGACAUGCAUGUAAUGGACCUACAAAGGGAUGCCAACAGACAAAUCAGCGACCUCAAAUUUAAACUUGCAAAAUCUGAGCAAGAGAUAACUGCAUUAGAACAAAAUGUAAUAAGGUUAGAGAGUCAAGUAUCACGUUACAAAUCAGCGGCUGAAAAUGCAGAAAAAAUAGAAGAUGAACUUAAGGCAGAAAAACGGAAACUCCAAAGAGAGCUCCGCUCUGCGUUGGAUAAAACAGAAGAGCUUGAGGUGAGCAACGGCCACUUAGUGAAGCGUCUGGAAAAAAUGAAAGCAAAUCGGAGUGCGCUCUUGUCCCAGCAGUAAAUUCCAGCUCUGAACAGGCAACUGGUUGGUGACUGGAGAGCAUUGUUUCAUAGGCUUUUCUCUGUCCUGUCUGGGAGCGCUGCUUCUUCCCCUGCCUUCUGAGAGACGAAGACCGUGGCGAGCUUGGCGCUUAGGGGCUCCCGUGCCAUGGCUCACCCCAGGGAGCCCCAGCAGCCACCAGGUGCCUCUGUCUGCAGACCCCUGGCCCGGGCUCGGGCCAACGCUCAGAACCUGCAGGUACUUCAUAAGCACACAGGGGCCUCGAGGGAGCUCUGUGUCUGACCGCACAGCAGCCUCUGAAUGCCACAGGAAAUGAUGAUCACAGUAAAGAUUCAGUUGGGACUUGAGUUUCUUUUUUUUUCAUGUGUCUUGCUGAAGAUUAAGGGGAAAUGUUACAGUGUUGGGACUUCCUUUCAUGGCAGAAUCUACAAUUUGAGCGACUUCAGUAGUAUCUCUUAGUCUACGCUUUUCAUACACGAAACACUGUGGAACCACAAGCCAUUACCAAGCAAAACUCUUUCACUGGAAACAAGGGGGCAGUCUAGAAGUAAAAGUGACCUUAAGAAGACUCUUUACAGGCAACAAAUGAAGCUUUUCUAAGGGAUUUUUGCAUCAGUUCAGUCAUAAGGAUACUUUUUUCCAGGGUAAUUAGGCAAUAGCUUCACUGAAAAUGACAGCUUUUCAUUUGCAUUAUUUAAUCCUUAUAUUUGGAAUUGAAGUCGUUAACUUCUUUUAAAGAAUGUCCUAUUAGAAAAAUUAAAAAUGAAAUGUUGAGAGACUCCA